UACGUAGGGUGCGAGCGUUGUCCGGAUUUACUGGGCGUAAAGAGCGCGCAGGCGGUCGUUCAAGUCGCGUGUGAAAGCCCCCCGGCUCAACUGGGGAGGGUCACGCGAUACUGAUCGACUCGAAGGCAGGAGAGGGAAGUGGAAUUCCCGGUGUAGUGGUGAAAUGCGUAGAUAUCGGGAGGAACACCAGUGGCGAAGGCGACUUCCUGGCCUGUUCUUGACGCUGAGGCGCGAAAAGCUAGGGGAGCAAACGGG
This 255-nucleotide ribosomal RNA is filed under the name uncultured bacterium. RNAcentral describes it as "partial 16S ribosomal RNA". It matches the Rfam family "Bacterial small subunit ribosomal RNA", at positions 524 to 776 of the family's 1533-position model. The record is from RNAcentral.